RNAcentral lists this non-coding RNA (99 nucleotides) under Sphingopyxis macrogoltabida. RNAcentral describes it as "Glycine sequence". It matches the Rfam family "Glycine riboswitch aptamer". Rfam says of the family: This family represents the bacterial glycine riboswitch. Glycine riboswitches usually consist of two metabolite-binding aptamers domains with similar structures in tandem. The record is from Rfam by way of RNAcentral. Lineage: Bacteria; Pseudomonadati; Pseudomonadota; Alphaproteobacteria; Sphingomonadales; Sphingopyxidaceae.
ACCGGCCGCGCGGGAGAGCGUGGGGCAGGGCAACCGGCACCCACCACCGAAGGAGCAACCGCCCCGGAAACUCUCAGGUCAAAGGACCGCGCUGGCUGG